Molecule: ribosomal RNA, 640 nt
Filed under: Anaplasma phagocytophilum
Lineage: Bacteria; Pseudomonadati; Pseudomonadota; Alphaproteobacteria; Rickettsiales; Anaplasmataceae
Description: bacterial SSU rRNA
Rfam family: Bacterial small subunit ribosomal RNA
Source: RNAcentral
GCUGAAUGUGGGGAUAAUUUAUCUCCGUGUUGUAGCUAACGCGUUAAGCACGCCGCCUGGGGACUACGGUCGCAAGACUAAACUCAAAGGAAUUGACGGGGACCCGCACAAGCGGUGGAGCAUGUGGUUUAAUUCGAUGCAACGCGAAAAACCUUACCACUCCUUGACAUGGAGAUUAGAUCCUUCUUAACAGAAGGGCGCAGUUCGGCUGGAUCUCGCACAGGUGCUGCAUGGCUGUCGUCAGCUCGUGUCGUGAGAUGUUGGGUUAAGUCCCGCAACGAGCGUAACCCUCAUCCUUAGUUGCCAGCGGGUAAGCCGGGCACUUUAAGGAAACUGCCGGUGGUAAACCGGAGGAAGGUGGGGAUGAUGUCAAGUCAGCACGGCCCCUAUGGGGUGGGCUACACACGUGCUACAAUGGUGACUACAAUAGGUUGCAAUGUCGCAAGGCUGAGCUAAUCCGUAAAAGUCAUCUCAGUUCGGAUUGUCCUCUGCAACUCGAGGGCAUGAAGUCGGAAUCGCUAGUAAUCGUGGAUCAGCAUGCCACGGUGAAUACGUUCUCGGGUCUUGUACACACUGCCCGUCACGCCAUGGGAAUUGGCUUAACUCGAAGCUGGUGCGCUAACCGAAAGGAAGCAGCCAU